RNAcentral lists this ribosomal RNA (788 nucleotides) under uncultured bacterium. Its description in RNAcentral is "bacterial SSU rRNA". It matches the Rfam family "Bacterial small subunit ribosomal RNA", at positions 8 to 794 of the family's 1533-position model. The record is from RNAcentral.
AGAGUUUGAUCAUGGCUCAGGAUGAACGCUGGCGGCGUGCUUAACACAUGCAAGUCGAGCGAAGCACUUAGGAAAGAUUCUUCGGAUGAUUUUCUAUUUGACUGAGCGGCGGACGGGUGAGUAACGCGUGAGUAACCUGCCCUAGAGUGGGGGACAACAGUUGGAAACGACUGCUAAUACCGCAUAAGCCCACGGUGCCGCAUGACACUGAGGGAAAAGGAUUUAUUCGCUUUAGGAUGGACUCGCGUCCAAUUAGCUAGUUGGUGAGGUAACGGCCCACCAAGGCGACGAUUGGUAGCCGGACUGAGAGGUUGAACGGCCACAUUGGGACUGAGACACGGCCCAGACUCCUACGGGAGGCAGCAGUGGGGGAUAUUGCACAAUGGGGGAAACCCUGAUGCAGAGACGCCGCGUGGAGGAAGAAGGUUUUCGGAUUGUAAACUCCUGUCGUUAGGGACGAUAAUGACGGUACCUAACAAGAAAGCACCGGCUAACUACGUGCCAGCAGCCGCGGUAAAACGUAGGGUGCAAGCGUUGUCCGGAAUUACUGGGUGUAAAGGGAGCGCAGGCGGGAAGACAAGUUGGAAGUGAAAACCAUGGGCUCAACCCAUGAAUUGCUUUCAAAACUGUUUUUCUUGAGUAGUGCAGAGGUAGAUGGAAUUCCCGGUGUAGCGGUGGAAUGCGUAGAUAUCGGGAGGAACACCAGUGGCGAAGGCGGUCUACUGGGCACCAACUGACGCUGAGGCUCGAAAGCAUGGGUAGCAAACAGGAUUAGAUACCCUGGUAGU